UGAGCAAUCUGCCCUUCUCUUCGGAAUAAGCGUUGGAAACGACGUCUAAUGCCGAAUACGACCUCCUUUCGCAUGAUCGGAGGUGGAAAGCUCCGGCGGAGAAGGAUGAGCUCGCGGCCUAUCAGCUAGUUGGUGUGGGUAAUGGCCCACAAGGCGACGACGGGUAGCCGGCCUGAGGAGGGUGACCGGCCACACUGGGACUGAGACACGGCCCAGACCUCCGUACGGGAGNAG
RNAcentral lists this ribosomal RNA (234 nucleotides) under uncultured bacterium. RNAcentral describes it as "partial 16S ribosomal RNA". It matches the Rfam family "Bacterial small subunit ribosomal RNA", at positions 118 to 347 of the family's 1533-position model. The record is from RNAcentral.